RNAcentral lists this ribosomal RNA (659 nucleotides) under uncultured bacterium. RNAcentral describes it as "bacterial SSU rRNA". It matches the Rfam family "Bacterial small subunit ribosomal RNA", at positions 8 to 684 of the family's 1533-position model. The record is from RNAcentral.
AGAGUUUGAUCCUGGCUCAGGAUGAACGCUGGCGGCGUGCUUAACACAUGCAAGUCGAGCGAGAAAAGUUCUUCGGAGCUUUUCUAGCGGCGGACGGGUGAGUAACACGUGGGCAACCUGCCUCAUAGAGGGGAAUAGCCUUCCGAAAGGAAGAUUAAUACCGCAUAACAUUGUUGAAAGGCAGCUUUUAACAAUCAAAGGAGCAAUCCGCUAUGAGAUGGGCCCGCGGCGCAUUAGCUAGUUGGUGAGGUAACGGCUCACCAAGGCGACGAUGCGUAGCCGACCUGAGAGGGUGAUCGGCCACAUUGGAACUGAGACACGGUCCAGACUCCUACGGGAGGCAGCAGUGGGGAAUAUUGCACAAUGGGGGAAACCCUGAUGCAGCAACGCCGCGUGAGUGAUGAAGGUCUUCGGAUUGUAAAGCUCUGUCUUUAGGGACGAUAAUGACGGUACCUAAGGAGGAAGCCACGGCUAACUACGUGCCAGCAGCCGCGGUAAUACGUAGGUGGCAAGCGUUAUCCGGAUUUACUGGGCGUAAAGGGAGCGUAGGCGGAUAUUUAAGUGGGAUGUGAAAUACCUGAGCUUAACUUGGGAGCUGCAUUCCAAACUGGAUAUCUAGAGUGCAGGAGAGGAGAAUGGAAUUCCUAGUGUAGCGGUGA